GCAUUGCUGAGGAGUCCCAAACCAGGACGGAACGGUCGUCCAGUGC
Molecule: non-coding RNA, 46 nt
Organism: Schistosoma margrebowiei
Lineage: Eukaryota; Metazoa; Platyhelminthes; Trematoda; Strigeidida; Schistosomatidae
Source: Rfam